Molecule: non-coding RNA, 72 nt
Organism: Lingula anatina
Lineage: Eukaryota; Metazoa; Brachiopoda; Lingulata; Lingulida; Lingulidae
Source: Rfam
GCCGUGAUCGUAUAGUGGUUAGUACUUCUCGUUGUGGCCGAGACAACCCAGGUUCGAAUCCUGGUCACGGCA